RNAcentral lists this long non-coding RNA (948 nucleotides) under Marmota monax (woodchuck). Lineage: Eukaryota; Metazoa; Chordata; Mammalia; Rodentia; Sciuridae. The record is from RNAcentral.
CUUUUAAGUGAUCUUUUUUAUAACUCUGGUUCUCUUUAUGGCAUUUAAUGUUCUGUAACUGAAUAAAGGUAACCUGUAAUCAAUAAGCGAUUUAAAAAUUUUAUGUCACUCUUCACAGUGGGAUGGAAAUUUAAGUUUAAAUGUAUUUUUUAAAGUAGUAAAAAGAGAGUCUGAUUUGCUUAAAAGUUUUGACAAUGUGGAACAUAAAAAUACUUUAUCACUUUUUCAAAAAAAAAAAGGGAUGUUUAGAGCCCUCAAUUCUGUUUGCUUCCUGCUUCAGAUAUAAUGUCAUGUUAUGUUAAAUGAUAUUCAGAUAGGCUCAGGAAACAAUAUAUGAUAACUUUGUAGAGAAAAACAUUUAAAAAGAGGCAAGGAUCAGCUUCAAAAAUAAAAAAAAAAACUUUAGAAUUCCUUGAGAGCCUUGUCUCACCUGAGAUAAGUCUCUGCCUCUCACCCUAACAAGAUGAGACAAGUUGAGAUGGCUCCAAAGUAGACUAGAAUUAAACUCAUUUGAAGUUAUGUUCAUCCUCAGAAAACUUGGAAUGGGACCACCAUUUGACCCAGUUAUCCUACUCAGCAUAUACUCAAAGGACUUAAAAUCAGCAUUAUAGUGUUAUACCCACAUCAAUGUUUAUAGCAGCUCAAUUCAUAAUAGCUAAGCUAUGGAGCCAACCUAGGUGCCCUUCAAUAGAUGAAUGGAUAAAGAAAACGUGGUAUAUAUACACAGUGGAAUAUUACUCAGCCAUAAAGAAAAAUGAAAUUAUGGCAUUCACCAGUAAAAUGGAUUGAACUGGAGACACUCAUGCCAAGUAAAAUAAGCCAACCAGUAAAAUGGAUUGAACUGGAGACACUCAUGCCAAGUAAAAAUAAGCCAAACCAAACACUGAAUGUUCUCUCUGAUAUAUGAUGCUAACACACAUGGGGUGGGGGAAGAACAGAAGUUUAUUG